Non-coding RNA from Gasterosteus aculeatus aculeatus (three-spined stickleback), 2062 nucleotides. Lineage: Eukaryota; Metazoa; Chordata; Actinopteri; Perciformes; Gasterosteidae. The record is from RefSeq and is a predicted model, not a curated record.
GAGAACGAAUGUGCAGCAUUAAGCAGUGUUUUCCACAGGGACUCGUUAAACAUGUACACUGUAAAAUGUAAUUGUUGACUUUACUUAAAAAAAUGAGUGCCCUUAACUAAUUUCUGCUUAAUUUGUUGACCAUACUGAAGAUAACUUAGUAAAGUUACUUUCUGCUCCGGAAAGUUAUGAAACUUUCAAGUAACGUUUACUUAAAAACCCGGAGAUACUCGGCUGCACUCGGCUCUAAUACGCAUGCGCACUCGACCACCGAAGACGUGAUUUCCUUUGAGGCGGCUGCUGGAAGCGGGAAAAAAGCGCUGCUCGGUCCAGAAGGUAAGUUUCAGCUAACGUCACAUGAUCAAAUGUUACCGUUUACUGGCACCGUUCUACCUAGCAAACUUACUCGUCCAUUUGCCAUAUUAUUCACGUGUUAGUCAACGUUAGUUUUGGGGGGUUAACUUUUAUCUCUUCGAUUUUCAAAGCUAACGUUAGCCGUUAACAGUUAAGCUAACGUUAGCUUGACCGUCAGUGUGGAACCUUCUAGAAUAAAUGUAACGUUGAAUAUAACAACAACUUGCGUUUCAGAAUACUCUGAAUGCUUAUUAGCAGGGGUAAGAAGGUAUUUUUGUUAGCUUUUUUAUUGUUUGUCUCCGACUGUUUUCUACGGUGCAGCAAAACGUGACUUCAAAGAAGCGACCUCACCGGGAAACAUACUCCCGUUCAUCAAUUUAACGUUAGUAACGUUAACUUGCACUGCACUUAUACGACUUAUUCACUUAGCGCUAUUACAUUUGAUGUUAACGUUAGUUAACCGAAACAUGUAUUAACUUAUUUAACGUCCGACAGGACAGUAGCGGUUAUUAACGUAAUAACGGUUAAACAACGUGGCCGCCUAACGCACGGUUAUUAAUUACCGCACCGCAUUGUCUGAGUCACGGUAGUCAUUGCGUAAAGACAAAUGUAACGUUAAAAAAAACCUUCUAUUUUAAUACUUACGAAAUUUAGCCAAAAUGCAAAAAGGAACCUUUAAGCUCUCCCAUCCCAUGAUUGCUUUUGUUGUUUCUUUUGCAGCUUUGCAGAACAAACGUAAAUGGAAGUGUUGGCCAGCAACUUCAGGAAUAUCUGCAACAAGUCACUACAGCAGGUACAGAUGUUACUGGGAUGCAAACAGCAGUCCUCCGUGGCCUUCCUGUCAUCCUUGGAGAUGAGAACACAGACUUCUUUAAGACAUGCUUUCUAAGUAGACUUUACUCAAAAUUAUUAUCGGACUCUCGAGACAUGUCGCACACAUUCAUGGGGAUCCUGACAGUGAUUGCCGAAGACGGUGCCGCCUCUCUUCACUCGCUGCACCUUGAAUCCACAACUACUGCCGUCAUUUUGGAAGGAACACUGGUGAUAAAUUUCCCAUCAAAAUCUGCCACAUCCCAUGUGCCUGCUACCCUCCGAUACCGAGGAACAUCUUUGGGUUUGUUCAUAGAGUGCUUCUCUCACUUGGACCAAAAUCCCUCAAACCCAAACUACAAUCACUCAAAAACCUACUAAUGCAGUGAGGGGUUGUCUUCAUGAUGUUUAUGGUCUGUGAUAUGCUGCGUUAGACCCAAGACCUUCACCCUUACUCUUUACUAUGGAAAAUGUUUUGUUCAUGUUGUCCAGACAUUGUCCAUCUGUUUGUUACAAACCAUAGUCCUAACUUUUCAUGAUUCAAGGCAUGCUAUUUUCAUAUUGUGAGUAAUUUCUUUUUUUUUGCAAAAGUUUAGUUCAUUCUAAUAUUUUAAUACAACAAACAAGUAACAGAACAUUGAUUCAUAUUUGAUUAAUUGCCUUUAGUCUUACAGUUUAAAUUGGAUAGGACAGACUUUUUUUCUGUGGGUGUGGUGGCAUCUUUCAAAUGCCAUUGGCACUAAAAAGAGAGGCAAUCAGUUAAUUUUAUUGGAAUGUAAAGAUAUUUUAAAAGUUUCAGCAAAAUGUCCACAUUUCAAAACAUGUCAUUUUUAAUUGUUUUAUUUUUAAUCACGUUUUAAGAAAAUGUGUGAGGAACUUCCUUAGAAAUAAACUUUGUCUUCCAUUAUAA